UAGAUACCCUAUUAUACUUAAAUAAAACAUUAUCCUUAUCACUAAAAGUUAUUUUCUUAAAAAUAAAAAAAUUUGGCGGUGUUUAAUUUAUUUAGGGGAACCUGUUUUUUAAUCGAUAAACCACGCAGAAUCUUACUUGUUUCAGCAUUUUGUAUACCGUUAUUAUUAGAUAACUUUUAAAGAAUAAGAUAUUAAAAUUUUAGUUUAAAGUAUAUUAGAUCAAGGUGCAGAUAAUAAACAAGAAAAAAUGGGUUACAAUAACUUUGGAUUAUUAUGGAUUAGUAGAUGAAACUGCUGUAAUGAAGGCGGACUUAAUUGUAAUAAAAUUUUAAUAAGUUUUAAUGAUAUAAACACUUAAACAUGUACAUAUCGCCCGUCGCU
RNAcentral lists this ribosomal RNA (381 nucleotides) under Petrolisthes haswelli. RNAcentral describes it as "partial 12S ribosomal RNA". The record is from RNAcentral. Lineage: Eukaryota; Metazoa; Arthropoda; Malacostraca; Decapoda; Porcellanidae.